GGGUGGUUGGUGUAGUGGUAACACAACGGUCUUCGGAACCGUUAUCGGGGGUUCAAUCCCCUCACCACCUG
Molecule: transfer RNA, 71 nt
Filed under: Candidatus Peribacteria bacterium
Lineage: Bacteria; Candidatus Peregrinibacteriota; Candidatus Peribacteria
Description: tRNA-Arg
Rfam family: tRNA
About the family: Transfer RNA (tRNA) molecules are approximately 80 nucleotides in length. Their secondary structure includes four short double-helical elements and three loops (D, anti-codon, and T loops).
Source: RNAcentral